RNAcentral lists this ribosomal RNA (803 nucleotides) under human gut metagenome. RNAcentral's name for it is "bacterial SSU rRNA". It matches the Rfam family "Bacterial small subunit ribosomal RNA", at positions 8 to 817 of the family's 1533-position model. The record is from RNAcentral.
AGGGUUCGAUUCUGGCUCAGGAUGAACGCUGGCGGCGUGCUUAACACAUGCAAGUCGAACGGGAUCCAUCAGGCUUUGCUUGGUGGUGAGAGUGGCGAACGGGUGAGUAAUGCGUGACCGACCUGCCCCAUGCACCGGAAUAGCUCCUGGAAACGGGUGGUAAUGCCGGAUGCUCCAUCACAUCGCAUGGUGUGUUGGGAAAGCCUUUGCGGCAUGGGAUGGGGUCGCGUCCUAUCAGCUUGAUGGCGGGGUAACGGCCCACCAUGGCUUCGACGGGUAGCCGGCCUGAGAGGGCGACCGGCCACAUUGGGACUGAGAUACGGCCCAGACUCCUACGGGAGGCAGCAGUGGGGAAUAUUGCACAAUGGGCGCAAGCCUGAUGCAGCGACGCCGCGUGAGGGAUGGAGGCCUUCGGGUUGUAAACCUCUUUUGUUAGGGAGCAAGGCACUUUGUGUUGAGUGUACCUUUCGAAUAAGCACCGGCUAACUACGUGCCAGCAGCCGCGGUAAUACGUAGGGUGCAAGCGUUAUCCGGAAUUAUUGGGCGUAAAGGGCUCGUAGGCGGUUCGUCGCGUCCGGUGUGAAAGUCCAUCGCUUAACGGUGGAUCCGCGCCGGGUACGGGCGGGCUUGAGUGCGGUAGGGGAGACUGGAAUUCCCGGUGUAACGGUGGAAUGUGUAGAUAUCGGGAAGAACACCAAUGGCGAAGGCAGGUCUCUGGGCCGUUACUGACGCUGAGGAGCGAAAGCGUGGGGAGCGAACAGGAUUAGAUACCCUGGUAGUCCACGCCGUAAACGGUGGAUGCU